AAGAAUCAACAGAGAAAGGCUUCAAACCGUGACGCAGAUCUGUCACCUAUGAUAAAAGGCAGGGGAAAGUCGAAUUGGGCAGAAAGAGCCUCAGACUGCAGUGCAGAUCUCACAAAGUCUCAGCCAACCUGGUGGGGAGUUCCGAACAAAGAUUGCCCGAUAGUGAUUACCUAUGUUCUGCAGAAAUGGCCGGGCCUUUAUAGGCACAUCAUGCUCAAGCUUUGGCUAGGGCUGGCCCCAGAACAGCAGAGCCUCACAAUUAUGUGCUGACAGAGACCCUGAAGACAUUGCAUGUGGAGGCUGUCAUCUAACUGCACUCCUUGCAGCUGGUGAACAAGUUCUUUCUCGAAGGAAGAUGCAAGUGGUGCAUCUCUUUGUUCUCCUUAGCAGGCAGUAACACCAGAUGUUGACCUCAUUUGCAUCAGUAGUAUGAACACCUUCUAUACUAAACAAGAAGAUUAGCCCUGAGCUAACAUCUGCUGCCAAUCCUCACCUUUUUUUCUGAGGAAGACUGGCCCUGAGCUAACAUUCGUGCUCAUCUUCCUCUACUUUAUAUGUGGGACGCCUGCCACAGCAUGGCUCAACAAGCAGUGCAUGGGUCUGCACCCAGGAUCCGAACUGCUGAACCCCGGGCUGCCGAAGCAGAACAUGUGAACUCCACUGCUGCACCAGCAGGUGGGAGUCAAGAGAGUGCACACAGAAUAUAAAGCCCCUUCUCAGGAACACAUUUGAGAUGCAAGCACCAACCAACCACCCGGAACCAGACCAAGCCUCACCAUAAGAGCUAUGCCUAUGAACUUUGCUUUAUUUUUAGCGCUAAGA
Molecule: long non-coding RNA, 822 nt
Filed under: Equus caballus (horse)
Lineage: Eukaryota; Metazoa; Chordata; Mammalia; Perissodactyla; Equidae
Description: lncRNA (ENSECAG00000053928.1)
Source: RNAcentral